This 419-nucleotide ribosomal RNA is filed under the name uncultured bacterium. RNAcentral's name for it is "partial 16S ribosomal RNA". It matches the Rfam family "Bacterial small subunit ribosomal RNA", at positions 360 to 776 of the family's 1533-position model. The record is from RNAcentral.
AAUAUUUGUCAAUGGGCGCAAGCCUGAACCAGCCACGUCGCGUGAAGGAAGACGGCCCNACGGGUNGNAAACUUCUUUUGUAAGGNCAUAAAGUGUAGUACGUGUACUAUUUUGCAUGUACCUUACGACUAAGGAUCGGCUAACUCCGUGCCAUCAGCCGCGGUAAUACGGAGGAUCCGAGCGUUAUCCGGAUUUAUGUGGUUUAAAGGGUGCGCAGGAGGGAGAUUAAGUCGGAGGUGAAAAUUUGCAGCUCAACUGUAAAAGUGCCUUCGAAACUGGUUUCCUUGAGUGUGGAUGAAGUAGGCGGAAUUUGUGGUGUAGCGGUGAAAUGCAUAGAUAUCACGAGGAACUCCGAUUGCGCAGGCAGCUUACUAAGCCAUAACUGACGCUCAGGCACGAAGGCGUGGGGAUCAAACAGG